This 469-nucleotide ribosomal RNA is filed under the name uncultured Enterobacteriaceae bacterium. RNAcentral describes it as "bacterial SSU rRNA". It matches the Rfam family "Bacterial small subunit ribosomal RNA", at positions 916 to 1381 of the family's 1533-position model. Lineage: Bacteria; Pseudomonadati; Pseudomonadota; Gammaproteobacteria; Enterobacterales; Enterobacteriaceae. The record is from RNAcentral.
ACGGGGCCCGCACAAGCGGUUGGAGCAUGUGGUUUAAUUCGAUGCAACGCGAAGAACCUUUACCUGGUCUUGACAUCCACGGAAGUUUUCAGAGAUGAGAAUGUGCCUUCGGAACCGUGAGACAGGUGCUGCAUGGCUGUCGUCAGCUCGUGUUGUGAAAUGUUGGGUUAAGUCCCGCAACGAGCGCAACCCUUAUCCUUUGUUGCCAGCGGUCCGGCCGGGAACUCAAAGGAGACUGCCAGUGAUAAACUGGAGGAAGGUGGGAUGACGUCAAGUCAUCAUGGCCCUUACGACCAGGGCUACACACGUGCUACAAUGGCGCAUACAAAGAGAAGCGACCUCGCGAGAGCAAGCGGACCUCAUAAAGUGCGUCGUAGUCCGGAUUGGAGUCUGCAACUCGACUCCAUGAAGUCGGAAUCGCUAGUAAUCGUGGAUCAGAAUGCCACGGUCGAAUACGUUCCCGGGCCUU